CCCCCCCUCGAGGUCGGAAUGGAAAAACCGGUACAAGCGAGGUAGGAGUGCAUCAGGCAAAUCCGGUGCACAAUCUGAAGACGUGAUGUGGGGCGUAAAGCCGGAAGUAUGUGAGCUGGCUGCCAAGAAAAGCCGCUAUUGUUUAUGAUAUACCCGUACCGUAAACCGACACAGGUGGAUGAGGAGAGAAUCCUAAGGCCGACGGGAGAAGCAUUGUUAAGGAACUCGGCAAAAUGACUCCGUAACUUCGGGAGAAGGAGUGCCAUGUAAAAGUGGCCGCAGAGAAUUGGCCCAAGCAACUGUUUAGCAAAAACACAGGUCUAUGCAAAACCGAAAGGUGAGGUAUAUGGGCUGACGCCUGCCCGGUGCUGGAAGGUUAAGGGGAGAGGUUAGCCGUAAGGCGAAGCUUUGAACUUAAGCCCCAGUAAACGGCGGCCGUAACUAUAACGGUCCUAAGGUAGCGAAAUUCCUUGUCGGGUAAGUUCCGACCCGCACGAAAGGCGUAAUGAUUUGGGCACUGUCUCAACAAUGCACCCGGUGAAAUUGAAAUACCAGUGAAGAUGCUGGUUACCUGCGCCAGGACGGAAAGACCCCAUGGAGCUUUACUCCAGCUUGAUACUGGGAUUCGAUAUUGCAUGUACAGGAUAGGUGGGAGACUUUGAACUCAUGACGCCAGUCGUGAGGGAGUCACUGUUGGGAUACCACCCUUGUAGUAUUGGAUUUCUAACCAGCAGCCGUGAACCGGCUGGGGGACAAUGUCAGGUGGGGAGUUUGACUGGGGCGGUCGCCUCCGAAAGGGUAUCGGAGGCGCUCAAAGGUUCCCUCAGAAUGGUUGGAAACCAUUCGAAGAGUGCAAAGGCAGAAGGGAGCUUGACUGCGACACCGACGGGUGGAGCAGGUACGAAAGUAGGACUUAGUGAUCCGGUGGUAUAAAGUGGGAUUGCCAUCGCUCAACGGAUAAAAGCUACCCUGGGGAUAACAGGCUUAUCACUCCCAAGAGUUCACAUCGACGGAGUGGUUUGGCACCUCGAUGUCGGCUCAUCGCAUCCUGGGGCUGUAGUAGGUCCCAAGGGUUGGGCUGUUCGCCCAUUAAAGUGGUACGCGAGCUGGGUUCAGAACGUCGUGAGACAGUUCGGUCCCUAUCCGUCGCAGGCGUAGGAAAUUUGAGGAGACCUGUCCUUAGUACGAGAGGACCGGGAUGGACGUACCGCUGGUGUACCAGUUGUUCUGCCAAGGGCAUGGCUGGGUAGCUAUGUACGGAAUGGAUAAGCGCUGAAAGCAUCUAAGCGCGAAGCGACCUCGAGGGGGGG
RNAcentral lists this ribosomal RNA (1310 nucleotides) under human gut metagenome. RNAcentral describes it as "bacterial LSU rRNA". It matches the Rfam family "Bacterial large subunit ribosomal RNA", at positions 1479 to 2808 of the family's 2925-position model. The record is from RNAcentral.